RNAcentral lists this long non-coding RNA (921 nucleotides) under Homo sapiens (human). RNAcentral describes it as "long non-coding RNA NONHSAT152519.1". Lineage: Eukaryota; Metazoa; Chordata; Mammalia; Primates; Hominidae. The record is from RNAcentral.
AGCAGGACCAUUGACUAUCCAGGAAGCCCUGACUUACUUUGGUGGAGCGGUGGCUUCUACGAUAGGUCUGAUAAUGGGUGGGACGCUCCUGGCUUUGCUAAGAAAGCGUUUCAGACAAAAAGAUGAUGGGAAAUGCCCCUUGAAUCCUCACAGCCACCUAGGAACAUAUGGAGUUUUUACAAACGCUGCAUUUGACCCGAGUCCUUAAGAGACCUGUCCUUUUCCUGGUCUCCUCAUUCAGCCUCCAUAUGAUCCUGUUGUGAACAUCAAGUUUCCUGCUACACUGGACUUAACUAUAAUGCAUUUGCUGCAGGUUUCCAUAAACACCCAUGAAUCAAAGACAUGGAAUUACCUUAGAUUAGCUCUGGACCAGCCUGUUGGACCCGCUCUGGACCAACCCUGUUUCCUGAGUUUGGGAUUGUGGUACAAUCUCAAAUUCUCAACCUACCACCCCUUCCUGUCCCACCUCUUCUCUUCCUGUAACACAAGCCACAGAAGCCAGGAGCAAAUGUUUCUGCAGUAGUCUCUGUGCUUUGACUCACCUGUUACUUGAAAUACCAGUGAACCAAAGAGACUGGAGCAUCUGACUCACAAGAAGACCAGACUGUGGAGAAAUAAAAAUACCUCUUUAUUUUUUGAUUGAAGGAAGGUUUUCUCCACUUUGUUGGAAAGCAGGUGGCAUCUCUAAUUGGAAGAAAUUCCUGUAGCAUCUUCUGGAGUCUCCAGUGGUUGCUGUUGAUGAGGCCUCUUGGACCUCUGCUCUGAGGCUUCCAGAGAGUCCUCUGGAUGGCACCAGAGGCUGCAGAAGGCCAAGAAUCAAGCUAGAAGGCCACAUGUCACCGUGGACCUUCCUGCCACCAGUCACUGUCCCUCAAAUGACCCAAAGACCAAUAUUCAAAUGCGUAAUUAAAAGAAUUUUCC